GUGCUUACUUGGGCAGUACAUGUACUUAAAUUGUAAUGAGAUAGAGAAGAUUAGCAUGGCCCCUGUGAAAGGAUGACACACAAAUUUGUGAAGCAUUCCAUAUUUUA
Molecule: small nuclear RNA, 107 nt
Organism: Ictidomys tridecemlineatus (thirteen-lined ground squirrel)
Lineage: Eukaryota; Metazoa; Chordata; Mammalia; Rodentia; Sciuridae
Source: Ensembl